RNAcentral lists this non-coding RNA (110 nucleotides) under Thiobacillus sp. RNAcentral describes it as "c-di-GMP sequence". It matches the Rfam family "c-di-GMP-I-GGC riboswitch aptamer". Lineage: Bacteria; Pseudomonadati; Pseudomonadota; Betaproteobacteria; Nitrosomonadales; Thiobacillaceae. The record is from RNAcentral.
CACGAACAGGGCAAACCCGCCGCGAGACGGGGACGCAAAGUUUCCGGUCUCGAUAUCCAUGCCUUUCAGGGGCUUCCCCACUGGCAGUCGAGACAGCGGGACCGCCGGCA